This is a long non-coding RNA of Cyprinus carpio (common carp), 2329 nucleotides long. The record is from Ensembl. Lineage: Eukaryota; Metazoa; Chordata; Actinopteri; Cypriniformes; Cyprinidae.
AGUGUCACGGGCGAUGCGCGUAUGCAAUACACCGCUCACGCUACGGGGUAGUAGAGUCGGGUGAUAUUAGUAGAGUCGGGUCACGUGAUAUUCAGAUCACAAUGACAACUGAAGAGGAGUGCAUUUUAUUGCUGAUUUUACAUCGGCGGCAACAAAGGCAGCGCAGAGAUAGGCGGUGGUAUGUUAUACGUAAAAGCUCGCAUAAUUUUUCCUCUUCACCAGCCAUUGUAUUCAAACCUUCUUCUUCUGUAAACAUAAUAUCCUUGAAUUAAUGUACAGUUCUUGCAAUGUCAACCCCACCGACAACGCAUAGUAUUGCGUGCAUCGGCGCGUCGCAUAUCAAAAACUAGGACGACACAUUUGGCUACGCACCGACGCAUAAUGGCAGCUGAAGCGUAACGAUCUGUAGCCUUGGGGACGCGUAUGCGUACAGAUGCGUUGACUAUGAAACGGCCCUUAUUCGCACAAGUCGCGUCUGGUGUGAAUGCACAGUAACUCCUUUCUGAACUGCAAGUUAUGAAAUUAACAUUAAAGAAAUAUGAAUGUGACCGAGCUGGGGUCUCAAAUGUUACACAUUUUCAGAAACUUUGGACUUUUCCCCUUUUAAUGAGAUAAGUGUGUAAAAACGGUACAUCACUUGCAUCAGAAUAAAAAAAGCCAUCAAAAAUUGGCCUACGUAGAAAUGCAAUGUAAUAACGUUAAAAUAAUAAUCAAUCUACUUCAUAUCCUUGGAAUUAUUUAAACAAAAACAUUCACUGCAGAGAUGUUCUGUAAAAACAACUAUUGUACAAAAAAUAUAUACUGUAUUUUCUUAUAUACUAUUUAGGAUGGAUAGUGUGCACAUUGGGAUGCAGGCUUGUUCCCCUCAAUUUGAUCUGACAUCUGAAAAAUACAUCAGUGAUGUGGAUAUUAAUCAUUUUAAAAUAUGAGCUUUAUGUGGGUCUUUUCCAGGAGUAUGACGUGUUGAUGAAGUAUUAGACAUGUUUUUGAUAUUUAUUUUAGUUAAAUUAAAUGUUAUAUUAAUUAAAGGUGCUAGCUGCCUGUCCCCUGAACACACUGUAAAAAAAAACGCGGUCUCUCUAGACACCACAGGCUCCACAAACAACAAGAAAAACAAACUGGGCUCACCCGCACCACGAAACAUAACAAACUGUUCCAGCCAAUAAGCGACAAGAAAGAUUUGGGGGUGGGGUUUGGGGGAUUAGUGCGCGGAUGAGGAGGAGGGAGGGUCUAGCUAGCCUCCGUUUUGUUUGACAACAAUUCUAAUGUCAACAAGAAGUUACGACUCCCGGCAUCGCUUAGAGCACCUUUAAGUAUCUGUCUUUACAUUCUGAGUAAUGCUGAAAGGUUUUAACUUAAAUCAAGAGACAGCUGUAUGUGGGUCGCAGGUGUGUGUGUCGCACUGAACAUUACGUCGCGGCAGUUGUGUGUGGCCUUGCUAUGACGACCAUCUGCAUUGAGGGGUACUAUCUCUGGGUAUGAUCUGCAAUGGAAAAUGGAGCACAGCCAAAGCUGGUACUGGUAAUGGAAAAACGCCAUAAAAGUCACCCAGUAAAUCAUUGUUUAAAGUACUGUUCAUGCUCAACAUCUAGAAAAUGCACAUAGGCUUAAAACAUGGUCAAGUCCUUCAGUCAAAAACAAUAGAAGCUAAGUUCUUUCCAGUAACAAACAAACAAGUUCAUAUAUAAUCAGUAUUAAUAUACAGAUGUGAAUGUUCAUUUGGCAGAUUGAUAAUCACCCACGUCCUUUCAGAAUUCCAACGAUGGCUAUGAUCCUCUGUAGUGGCUCUCACCAGGCCUUGACCUGAAAAAUAGAUCAGAUGUAUCAUGCUUGUAAAAAUUCCUACACAUCAACGGUGGCCACAUUGUAUUGUUUUCAAUUUACACACAAUGGCAACUUUGCCUCCUACCCUCACAGCAUCGCCAGAGCAGAGCCAUUAGGUUGCUGCUUAACAAUAAUUGCAGUUUGGAGCUUGAAUGAAGAUUGAGCAUGAACAAACUUUGCCUCUAUUAAUGCUUCUAAUGCAGGAACAUUAAGGGGUUAAAAUGUAUUAAAAGGGUUCAAGGUGCUCUGUAAAUGUGAUCAACAAAAUCUUAAAACCACUUGUAAAACGGACUGCUAUCAAGUGUGAUUUUGGCACAAACCUUUGGCAAAAGACUGAGUUUAAUUAUUCUGACUCGCAGUACAAUUAUUGAAUUUAGAGAUGGAUCAUGAUUUUCGAAUUUUCAUUCAUUGUCAAAUGGAAUAGUUUGUUAUUUUUGCCGAGUUUAUAAAGUAGGGCUGUGCAAUUAAUCUAAAUCUUAAUAAAAUCACGAUUUGAGCGUGCGCA